CGUAACAAGGUCUCCGUAGGUGAACCUGCGGAGGGACCAUUACACAAAUAUGAAGGCGGGCUGGAACCUCUCGGGGUUACAGCCUUGCUGAAUUAUUCACCCUUGUCUUUUGCGUACUUCUUGUUUCCUUGGUGGGUUCGCCCACCACUAGGACAAACAUAAACCUUUUGUAAUUGCAAUCAGCGUCAGUAACAAAUUAAUAAUUACAACUUUCAACAACGGAUCUCUUGGUUCUGGCAUCGAUGAAGAACGCAGCGAAAUGCGAUAAGUAGUGUGAAUUGCAGAAUUCAGUGAAUCAUCGAAUCUUUGAACGCACAUUGCGCCCUUUGGUAUUCCAAAGGGCAUGCCUGUUCGAGCGUCAUUUGUACCCUCAAGCUUUGCUUGGUGUUGGGCGUCUUGUCUCUAGCUUUGCUGGAGACUCGCCUUAAAGUAAUUGGCAGCCGGCCUACUGGUUUCGGAGCGCAGCACAAGUCGCACUCUCUAUCAGCAAAGGUCUAGCAUCCAUUAAGCCUUUUUUUCAACUUUUGACCUCGGAUCAGGUAGGGAUACCCGCUGAACUUAAGCAUAUCA
This 570-nucleotide ribosomal RNA is filed under the name uncultured fungus. RNAcentral's name for it is "eukaryotic LSU rRNA". The stretch from base 208 to 361 matches the Rfam family "5.8S ribosomal RNA". The record is from RNAcentral. Lineage: Eukaryota; Fungi.